This 253-nucleotide ribosomal RNA is filed under the name uncultured bacterium. RNAcentral's name for it is "partial 16S ribosomal RNA". It matches the Rfam family "Bacterial small subunit ribosomal RNA", at positions 524 to 776 of the family's 1533-position model. The record is from RNAcentral.
UACGUAGGGUGCAAGCGUUAAUCGGAAUUACUGGGCGUAAAGCGCGCGUAGGUGGUUAGUUAAGUUGGAUGUGAAAUCCCCGGGCUCAACCUGGGAACUGCAUUCAAAACUGACUGACUAGAGUAUGGUAGAGGGUGGUGGAAUUUCCUGUGUAGCGGUGAAAUGCGUAGAUAUAGGAAGGAACACCAGUGGCGAAGGCGACCACCUGGACUGAUACUGACACUGAGGUGCGAAAGCGUGGGGAGCAAAUAGG